GACUGACCAAGAAUACAACCUCGAGCUUUAGCUAUGGAGCUAAAACGGACGACAUUUUGAAUAUGCGAUCGGUUAAUACUUAGACACGGGAGACUACACUUACUUUUACCUCGAGUGAAACCGUCGUAACGAAGCCAAACGACCUAAAAUGCGAGUGAUAUAACGAGGAGCGAUUGUUGUUACAGAAAAAAACAAACAAACAAAAAACACACACAACGGAUCAGGAAACAAUAAGUGCUAGCGCGCGCGCGCACACAUACACACAAAACAAAGCGUCGUUGGAGACGGCGGAUUUGUGUAGAUUUGUCUAAAAAGUAUAAUCAUGUCAUCGUCAAUCUCUCUCUCUCUCUCACACACACACACACACACAGGUUCACUGCUCUGUCCCGCUGAACAAUAGACUCCGACACGGAGUCACACAUCCACACAGCGACAUGUUUCUGUUAAGAUUUUUUCCCCCCAAAAAAAUCCGAAUCUAAAAUGGACGAAACAAACUAAAGUAAGAGCUUCUUUGUUUACUCCGCAUAUGUAAAGAGGUAUAAAAACGUCUAACGACUCGCCACAACAAAACUCCCUCCUCCUCCUCCUCCUCCUCCUCCUCCCUCUUCUUCAUUCCCCCGUUAACUAUCUAUCCCACUGCACACAGAGCAGUUUGAAAUAAAACACUGAGGACGUUUCAGGACACACCAACAACACCUUCGGCUCAGAGGAAAACAACAACACCACCACCACCGACGUUUUCUAUCAGUGUGAACGCGUGUAUUGGGCAGAGGCUCUUGACUAGCCACCUUGCUGUUGUCUUAGCAGCUUUAAUUUGUCGUUUCCGAGCACAAAUCGACCACAGACGCCGUGUCAUAGCUCCCUGAUCAGUUCUAUACACUAUUCGCGUUCGAAAUCAUAUAUAAUGUACAUUUAAUUUUUCUUCUCCAGCUGUUACGUACCUAGGAAAAAGAAGCCUCUUACUCCGGAUUCGUGUUUGUAACAAAAUCGUUGGACACGCCCAUCUGUCUUCUGAUUGGUCUACAAGGUCGUUGACGUCAUCGCAACUCAAAUAUGACCCGCCAAAUACUGACAAGACAGUAGCACUGAGGAUGGAAACUCACUCUCGAAUUGAUCAACCGGUGAAAUUGUUCAAAUUUAUGCUUUCUGUUUCAUCCAGAUCCUCGGGCUCUAAGUUCUAAUGCUUCUUUCAGGCCUUGGAUUCACCAGGAUCUCCAUUUUCCCCACAUUCUUGGUUCCUCCAAGUUUUGAUGUUUCUUACAGCAAGACAGUUCCCAGUGCCUGUAUAGCUCCAUGGAUAUACAGUGUGGAGGUUACAGUUGGAGUGAAGAACUCGAGUGUUCUGCAUAGAGCCCGGACUCUGACUCAACCUCACCGAAAUCCUUUAGGAUGAACCGGAACUGAAUCUGAGACCUCCUCACUCUUACAUCAUCAGUGUCUGAUCUCUCUAAUGCUCAAUGAUACAAAAUCUAGUGAAAAGUCUUCAAGAAUGGUGGAGCUUGUUUUAAAAGUAAAGGGGAAAUAAAUCUGGAAGGAAAUGUUCAACAAGUA
Molecule: long non-coding RNA, 1551 nt
Organism: Tachysurus fulvidraco (yellow catfish)
Lineage: Eukaryota; Metazoa; Chordata; Actinopteri; Siluriformes; Bagridae
Exons: 2
Source: RefSeq, a predicted model, not a curated record